AAAAAGAUAAACCCUGGGUUUUCCUGUCUAACAUUUGACUGUCCGUCUUAUAUUAAAUUUUUUAUAAUUAGUAUUUUUAUUGUUGGUAGAUGAUAAAACAUGAUUAAUACUUUAUACGUGAUUUAUCUUUUAUUUUUUUUAUAUAUUUUUUAAAUAAUACGGACGGUCAAACGUUGGAUACAGAAACACAGUGUUUGUCUUUUU
Molecule: non-coding RNA, 204 nt
Organism: Oryza glaberrima (African rice)
Lineage: Eukaryota; Viridiplantae; Streptophyta; Magnoliopsida; Poales; Poaceae
Source: Rfam